Molecule: long non-coding RNA, 826 nt
Organism: Peromyscus leucopus (white-footed mouse)
Lineage: Eukaryota; Metazoa; Chordata; Mammalia; Rodentia; Cricetidae
Exons: 3
Source: RefSeq, a predicted model, not a curated record
GUGCCGGACAGCGGGUCCAGCGGCCCUGGGAGCAGUGUCCCCGAAGGCCAGAAGAGGGCGCUGGAUCCCCUGGAGCUGGGUUUACAACGGAUUAGGUGAGGCCUGACGCAGGGGCCAGGAUGAGAACUCAGGUGCAGCGGAAUUCAGGGCAGCAAGUUGUCCACUGAGCAUCUCUCCGGCCUCCCCGCCCUUCCUAAGAGAUCAACGGCAAACAACACAGGCAUGCCUGGAGAGAUAAACCGAAACAAAACCUACCAAACAGAAAACGCAGGGGACGGACACACCGGCGAGCAAAGCUGUCGAAAACUCUGGGUGGAACCAGCUUCUCAAAGCAACAUAGAAAGAACUGAAAGUCCCUCCCCUCCAGAGCCCACCUCAGCUCGGCACCCACACAUUUCUUCCUUCGCUUAUUUCCCGGAUAGAUACCUUAUUUUUCUUCUUCUUCUUCUUUUCUUCUUCUUCACAAAAACUUACCUUUCAGACAGGCGAGGUGAGCAAGCCUGAGAUGCCCGGGGAAGCUCAGGCAGGAGCCUGGAGAGCUACGGGCCAGCCUGGGCUAGCGAGCGCAGGGGAGGGGGGCUGUGCUGUGCUGUCUCCCCUAAAAAGCUGAUUAAGGACGGAGCAGGGUGAGGUGGCACAGGCCUGCCACCUCCAGGGGACCCGCUGUUGAGUUCCCAGCACCAGAUGGUGGCUCACAGCCCUCUGUCAGUCCAGCAGGGAGAGCUGACGCCCGAUCUGUCCUCUGUGGCCACCAGACACACGCGUGGUGCCCAGGCAGAUGCGCAGGCGAAACACCCAGACACAAAAAUAAAUGAAUAAAAAAGAA